GAUGAAGAACGCAGCGAAAUGCGAUAAGUAAUGUGAAUUGCAGAAUUCAGUGAAUCAUCGAAUCUUUGAACGCACAUUGCGCCCCUUGGUAUUCCGAGGGGCAUGCCUGUUCGAGCGUCAUUAUAACCCCUCAAGCUCAGCUUGGUGUUGGGGCCUGCCGCACGGGCAGCCCUUAAAAUCAGUGGCGGUGCCAUCUGGCUCUAAGCGUAGUAAUUCUUCUCGCUAUAGAGUCACGGUGGAUGCUUGCCAUUAACCCCCAAUUUUCAAUGGUUGACCUCGGAUCAGGUAGGACUACCCGCUGAACUUAAGCAUAUCAAUAAGCGGAGGA
RNAcentral lists this unclassified non-coding RNA (328 nucleotides) under soil metagenome. RNAcentral's name for it is "partial contains 5.8S ribosomal RNA, internal transcribed spacer 2, and large subunit ribosomal RNA". The stretch from base 1 to 120 matches the Rfam family "5.8S ribosomal RNA", at positions 35 to 154 of the family's 154-position model. The record is from RNAcentral.